RNAcentral lists this ribosomal RNA (468 nucleotides) under uncultured bacterium. RNAcentral's name for it is "partial 16S ribosomal RNA". It matches the Rfam family "Bacterial small subunit ribosomal RNA", at positions 28 to 507 of the family's 1533-position model. The record is from RNAcentral.
GACGAACGCUGGCGGCGUGCUUAACACAUGCAAGUCGAACGGAAAGGCCCUGCUUUUGUGGGGUGCUCGAGUGGCGAACGGGUGAGUAACACGUGAGUAACCUGCCCUUGACUUUGGGAUAACUUCAGGAAACUGGGGCUAAUACCGGAUAGGUGCUCCUGCUGCAUGGUGGGGGUUGGACCGUUUCGGCGGUUGGGGAUGGACUCGCGGCUUAUUAGCUUGUUGGUGGGGUAGUGGCUUACCAAGGCUUUGGCGGGUAGCCGGCCCGAGAGGGUGACCGGCCACAUGGGGACUGCGAUACGGCCCAGACUCGUACGGGAGGCAGCAGGGGGGAAUAUUGCACAGUGGGCGGAAGCCUGAGACAGAAACGCCGCGUGCGGGAUGACGGCCUUCGGGUUGUAAACCGCAUUCGCCUGUGACGAAGCGUGAGUGACGGUAAUGGGUGAAGAAGCACCGGCUAACUACGUG